Molecule: long non-coding RNA, 3437 nt
Filed under: Strigops habroptila (Kakapo)
Lineage: Eukaryota; Metazoa; Chordata; Aves; Psittaciformes; Psittacidae
Description: lncRNA (ENSSHBG00005000596.1)
Source: RNAcentral
GCCUUCGACUUCAGGCCCGUUGGUUUCCUGUCUGAAAGCAUUAUUACUUUUGUCCAUGUGGCAUAAUAAUUAGCAUACAGAUGAGAAGGGAUCCUGCCUCUGAGCCUCAGUCGCAGGAGAAGAUGUGCAGUGGAAAGUUGAUUGGAUGAAUGGAGAACAAAUGGUGGGCGUUCAAAAGCAUUAGGAGAGUUUUGUUGUCGUGGAGCAGGUUUGUCAGUUCUCUGGUUGAAUCUCGUAAGAUGGAAGGCAGGGCGGCUGGUGCCGAGGAGACGACUGCUUGACAGACUGUGGCCUACUUGAAGGUGCACGUUUGGACUGCAUGCGUAGAUAAUUCGUUUGGACUACUUUGGUUUGCAAUUCUACGGCUUUCCCUUUGCUAUUCCCUCCAGAAAAUGAGUCUGGAAGAAAAUUGGUGAAUCCGAUCCAGUGGACCUACAAGCACUCUGACAGGCUCAGAGAGCAGAGUCUGUACCAAAGAGCAAUUACCCCACAAACAAUUUCAGCUGCGUCCCGUCUCUCAAUCGCGGCAAAUUGGUGACCCCGACGUGAUAGGUCAACGAACCGCCUAGCUGAGCGGCUUGCUGCGAGUCCCACAGAACGUUGAAUGAGCUGCUGAAAGGAAGCAGGAGCUGGCCAGCACUAAUCCCUCCAGAGUAGAGAGGUGAGCUGUGGGAAACAUGGGAAAUCAAGAAUCUUCCCCAGAGAGAGAUGUAUAUGAGCUUAUGAAAGCUCUCCUGCGAAAGCAUGGGAAAAAUGUUCCUGGUCAUGACCUCAAAGCAAUACUUAAAUGGGUGCAGGUGAAAAUACCCACUGUGACUGCGUCUAGUAUUUUUACGAAGGAACUUUGGGACGAUGUGGGGGUGAAAUUAUGGGAUGCAGCGACAACUGGGAACGCCGAGGCGCAGCGCAUGCUCCCUUGGUGGAGAAGCAUUUUUAAGGCUUUGAAAGUCCAGGAAAAAAGCCACAAAGAUGUAGCAGAGAAAGAAGCAGACUCUCCUAUGGUACCUCCGCUGUUAUCAGAGGACUGAAAAAACCCCAAGUCUUUGGAGGUCUGUGCCGUGGGCUACCCCCCAGAGGAAGACCCCUUUGAUCUGGGACCAGUGGACCCUGAAAAAGAGCCAGACCUCUACCCCCCUGACCCACGCGAUGUUUGGGUUAACAUAAGACGACAAGCCUUGAAGGAGGGAGAUCUGGAAAUUGUUAAGACGUUUGUAGCCACCGUAAUAUAUCAAGGUCGGGGGGCACAGUGGGAGGCUUUGUCUUUUCCGGUAGUUAAGGAGCUGCGCUGCACUGUUACCGAACAUGGGCUUUCUUCCCCGUAUUUUGCAAGCUUGCUAUCUUCUGUCUUUGAUACUUAUGUUAUGACUCCGCAUGAUCUAAAACCCUUACCACAACCAUCUGGUGAGGACUCUGAUCAUCCUCCGUACCACCCUUUCGAGCAACAAAUCGGUGAAUCUCCUGAGAAGAGCCAGGACAACAUGAAUUGAACACCGCAAGCAAGGAAGGACUACCUGAAUCAGUGUAAAGAAAUAUCAACUGCAGAAAUCGUUUGUAUUUUAUGUAAAACUUGUGACUUUAGAAAAGGAAAUUGAUGUAGCAAAAGUCUUAGUUGUCACAGGGCACGAAUUGUUAGGAAAUAGCUGUUAUUUACAUAGUUGUGUAGACUGGUCUUAUUUAGUGUAUAAAAGGUCGAAGGAGGUGUUAGCUUGUGGUUUAGAGUGUAGUAAAACAAACCUAGUUCCUGCUAUAUGGCCUGUCCUUAAACAAGAUUGGGAUCGAACAAAAGAAAAAUGCAGAAAACAAUUCGCGUGGAAGCUAAAGGCAGGCAAAAAACUGUUUUUAGAGUAGUGCUUAUCCUUAUAGCGGCAGUAAGGACUGAGCAGAGCUAUCCAUUUCUUCCUGCACUUCCUAAGGUUAAUGUGUGGGUCACGCUAGCAAAUAUAACUGGUCAGGACACUUUGUGUCUUGCACCCGCCUCGCCUAAUAACCCUUUCUCCACAUGUCUCGUGGGCCUGCCGCUAGAUAAGUGGCCGAUACCUGCAGGAUUGAAAACCGUUUUUCCAGCUCUAUCACAAAAUCUGACGGAUAAUUGGGAUGCGUGGGUCCCCUUUCUCCCACAGGCUACCCUAGAACCACAAGAGAUUGAACUCCUCGGAUCGGUAAAAAUGGAUUUUUGUGUUAAGUUUAACUAUACAGGAAAAAACCAAUCUAGAGCAUGGGAUGUCUCUCCUGCCCAUCCUGUUUUCAAAAAUGCUAGUGUUUGGUGUAAUUACACAGCAACAAACUUAUCCAGAUCUAGCAAUGUUCCUCUUCUAUUACCGUUGGGAAUGUUUUUUAUCUGUGGAGAUAGGGCGUGGCCCAUUAUCCCUUCUCAUAUAAAAGGAGGUCCAUGUAGCCCCGGACGCCUUUCUGUCCUGACUCCUAAUACAUCUGUGAUUUUACAACACCGUCUUUCUCACAGAGCAAAACGUGGCAUUCAUGCAUAUACCCCCGAUUGCGAUGAUAGCGCGGAGUUUUGGUCUUUUAGUCAACGCUUUGUUACCUCUGUUCUGAUACCUGGGCUUGCCGCUGGGAGAGCAUUAGCGACUCUAGAUAAGCUUGGCUGCUGGCUUGCUAAACAAACUAAUGCUACUAGCAAUGCAUUAUCUGGUCUUUUAUUAGAUGUAGAUAGUGUUCGCCAUGCUACAUUGCAGAAUAGAGCUGCUAUAGACUUUUUGCUUUUAGCGCAAGGCCAUGGCUGUGAAGAUUUUGAAGGCAUGUGUUGUAUGAAUCUCUCCGAUCACUCAGAAUCAAUCCAUGCCAGUAUUCAACAGCUUAAAAAAGGAGUCUUUAAACUCCGACAAGACGAUAGUUGAGAUUGGUUAGAUAAACUCCUUGGAGGAUGGGGGCUAUCAGCAUGGUUAAGGAGUUUGGUAAAGACAAUUGUUUACACCUUGGCUGUCUUUGUUCUCCUGUUAAUCCUUUUACCCUGUCUCUUGCAGUGUCUACAGAGAUUGAUAGAGUGUUCCAUGAAAAAAAUUCUUUUUGUGCAACAGGAAGGGGGAGAUGUAGGACAGGAUUUGGCUACUCUCAGCAGGACUCCCAGUGCUCUUCAGCUGAUAGAAGGAGACGUGUUGGAGCUUGUCGGUCGUAAACCAUGGGAGGAAUAAGAUAAGGAUAAAAGCUUGGCUGAGAAAGAAUGGCCCAGUGUUUAUUUGUCAAUCACGGGUUGGAAAGGUUGAGGGAGAAGGGAGUAGCCGACCUUGAUAAAGAGGAGCUAACUCUUUGUGUAAGAAAAGAUGUUGCUGGGGGAAGGUAAAUGCUUGAUUAAUAGUUUGUCUUAUGCUAGCCAAUCAGUGUGUGCCUUCUGUAAAAGAUAGACCAAUCAGUAUGAGACACGCUAGGUAGGGACAAGUAUAAAUGUAUAUGGACAACUAAUAAAACGACAUCUUGCUUGC